RNAcentral lists this long non-coding RNA (1407 nucleotides) under Zonotrichia albicollis (white-throated sparrow). Its description in RNAcentral is "lncRNA (ENSZALG00000000240.1)". The record is from RNAcentral. Lineage: Eukaryota; Metazoa; Chordata; Aves; Passeriformes; Passerellidae.
GAAAAUAUGAGCAAAACCAAACCGCUCCAGACCUGCUGUUUAGCCUGUUCUCAUGUGUGACUAAACAGAGUGAGCAGCCUGGUCACAGCUGUGUGGGAGUGGGCUCGAGUGACAGAGCAAAACAUGUGAGCUGCAGGUGAUGGAUGGAGAGCUCUCCCUGCUUCUCUGGGCUGAAUUGUGCCCUUGGCUUGGACUGGCUUCAGCUUUCCAUGGGAAACCCUGCCUGUCCCUGCCAGCCUGGCUGUGUGCCUGGCUGUGUGCCUGGCUGUGUGCGUGGGUGAUGGAUGGUGGCUUGGAUGUCACCCAGGCAACGAAACCUUGCUGGUGUGCUCCUGGACGUGUGGCAUUGCCUGGGGCUGUGUGUGGGGACUCAGAUUCCCUGCUCUUCCCCACGGCUCCUGAGGGACAUGAGCAGCUCUGACCUCUCUGGAGGAGUAUGGAGGGAUGAAAUGGGAAGCCUUGGAGAGCCAGUGCCCAAACAGAUACCACCUUCUUUCCUGGUGGUGGAAAGGCUCACCUGGAGUUGGCAUGGACAGUGGGACCAUCAUGAGCUCGUGGGGAAAGAGAUGCUGAAGUCUUGGCACCAUCCACUCUGCCAGUAUUUAGAGGGCCUCCCCAGAGAAUGGGACACCUGCUCAGGCAUUGUGUGAUCCUCACACAGUUGGAUGUGCAGCAGAGACGUGCCAGGUUUGCUGAUCAGACUGUGUGUGGCACAAUCAGAGCCCUUGUGCCUUCAAAGGGACCCUCCAAGAAGAACAAGUCGAGACUCAUAAACAUUCUCAUACAGGAGGAGAAAACAAGGUGUCAGAAUCUCGAAGUCUGUGUUGUGGUGGGGCUCGGUGUGUCCAGCACGGCUGCCUUGGAUGAGGCACCCACACUCAAUUACUCGUGUCCCUGCUGUGCACAGAGCCUGAAGGUUUCAAAAGGUUUUGGCUCACAUCUCUUCCUUUCAGAGGCUACUUCCCCCAUGAGUGUAGAUGCCACUGCACAUCCCAGAUCUCCUUCCAUGACAAUCCCAGGGCACUGAGAGGCAUUAGGACAUUUUUCAUCAGGGCACUGAACCAGAAGGCUGAAAACUUGAGUUAGUGUGAGUGGGACAAGGGGUUGGGGUGCCCAUCUUCAGAGAUCUUCAAAGUUUGACCAGAAAAUGCCCAGAGCAAACUGAUUUCAUCUUUGAAGCUGGUCCUUGGAAAUUGGAAUGAGAAGUUGGACCACAGACUGCCAGAGGUCCCUCCUUACCUAAAUGAGUCUGUGAUUGCAGGCAUGGCUUGAGGUAAAACUCAUCCUUCUGGUCCUGAGGUCUCCAUCUCCAGUGGAGGGAAAGUCACCUUCCUGAUUCUGCAUUACCCAUCCAGCUGAAAUCAUAAAGCGGAAAGUCAAAAAUAAAAUACCCAAUCCCUUUUUUCA